This 465-nucleotide ribosomal RNA is filed under the name Vreelandella stevensii. Its description in RNAcentral is "partial 16S ribosomal RNA". It matches the Rfam family "Bacterial small subunit ribosomal RNA", at positions 338 to 795 of the family's 1533-position model. Lineage: Bacteria; Pseudomonadati; Pseudomonadota; Gammaproteobacteria; Oceanospirillales; Halomonadaceae. The record is from RNAcentral.
CCUACGGGAGGCUGCAGUGGGGAAUAUUGGACAAUGGGGGGAACCCUGAACCAGCCAUGCCGCGUGUGUGAAGAAGGCCCUCGGGUUGUAAAGCACUUUCAGUGAGGAAGAACGCCUGGUGGUUAAUACCCAUCAGGAAAGACAUCACUCACAGAAGAAGCACCGGCUAACUCCGUGCCAGCAGCCGCGGUAAUACGGAGGGUGCGAGCGUUAAUCGGAAUUACUGGGCGUAAAGCGCGCGUAGGUGGCUUGAUAAGCCGGUUGUGAAAGCCCCGGGCUCAACCUGGGAACGGCAUCCGGAACUGUCAAGCUAGAGUGCAGGAGAGGAAGGUAGAAUUCCCGGUGUAGCGGUGAAAUGCGUAGAGAUCGGGAGGAAUACCAGUGGCGAAGGCGGCCUUCUGGACUGACACUGACACUGAGGUGCGAAAGCGUGGGUAGCAAACAGGAUUAGAUACCCUAGUAGUC